CCCACACUCACCCCUGUACCCUGUGUGUGCCCACACUCACCCCCACGCUGAGCUUGGCUGUCACACCUUAUCCCUCAUUCCUAUUGGUGCUUUCGGUAUAAUCAGACCAUUUCCUGGCUUUUAUUUCCCACAAUCACUCACACCAUGUCCUCACUUUUCUCCGGACUUAAUUCCCCAGUCUGAUCUUAAAGACGGCCCUGACUCCCAACAGCCACAGCCAGUCACUGGACCCUAGGGAAGUCUAUAUGUGUAUAUGCAUUUGUAUCUGUGUGUCUCUGUAUGAACAUCUUUCUAUAUGUGUAUCUUUGUGUGCCCCUCUGUAUCUGUGUGUCAAUGUUUGCAUCUAUAUGUGUCAUUCUGUGUAUCUGAAUGUUAGUCAUUAAGUGUGUCUGUGUUCCUGCAUGCGUGUCAGUGUGUGUAUCUGUUUGUCUUUGUGUGUGUGUGUGUGUAUAUGUAUGUAUUUCAGGGUGUGUUUGUCUGUUUAUCUGUAUGUGUGUUAGUGUGUAUCUGUGUAUGCACCUGUGCUGUCUGUCUUUGGAUGUCUCUACCUGUGUAUGUGUAUAUCUGUAUUUGUGUCAAUGUUUGUAUCUGUUUGUCUUUAUGUGUGUGUGUGUCUGUAUGUAUCUGCAUGUAUUUCAGGGUGUGUUUGUCUGUGUGUGUGCGUGCCAGUGUGUCUUUGUAUCUGUCUUUGGAUGUAUGUACCUGUGUAUGUGUAUGUGUGUAUCUGUAUUUGUGUCAGUGUUUGUAUGUGUGUUUUCUCUAGUUGAAAAAUAAGUGUGGCUAAGUCGUGUGUGUGUGUGUGUUUAGGUGAAAGACAUGAUAGCAUGCUAGAGGGGGGAGACCAGGGUCCAAUCAGC
Molecule: non-coding RNA, 857 nt
Organism: Pelobates cultripes (western spadefoot toad)
Lineage: Eukaryota; Metazoa; Chordata; Amphibia; Anura; Pelobatidae
Source: the annotation of a GenBank genome assembly